This 353-nucleotide long non-coding RNA is filed under the name Homo sapiens (human). RNAcentral describes it as "non-protein coding lnc-CHID1-2:1". Lineage: Eukaryota; Metazoa; Chordata; Mammalia; Primates; Hominidae. The record is from RNAcentral.
AUGGUCCAGCGGUGGCUGCUGCUGUCCUGCUGCGGAGCCCUGCUCAGCGCUGUCUGGCUAACACCUCCUACACCAGCCCAGGCCUCCAGAGGCUGAAGGACUCUCCACAGACACCCCGGACAAAGGCCAGUGCUCCACGUGGGGGGCUGGUCACUUCUCCACCUUCGACCACCACGUGUACGACUUCUCGGGGACGUGCAACUACAUCUUCGCGGCCACCUGCAAGGACGCCUUCCCCACCUUCAGUGUCCAGCUGCGGCGAGGCCCAGACGGGAGCAUCUCGCGGAUCAUCGUGGAGCUGGGGGCCUCCGUCGUCACUGUGAGCGAAGCCAUCAUCUCAGUCAAGGACAUCG